UACUCUCACAUGCUGAUGUAUAUAUUAUAAUACAAUCAUAAGCUACUUACUACAUCUAUACUCUCACAUGCUGAUGUAUAUAUUAUAAUACAAUCAUAAGCUACUUACUACAUCUAUACUCUCACAUGCUGAUGUAUAUAUUAUAAUACAAUCAUAAGCUACUUACUACAUCUAUACUCUCACAUGCUGAUGUAUAUAUUAUAAUACAAUCAUAAGCUACUUACUACAUCUAUACUCUCACAUGCUGUUACUUUUAUGUUCAUAAUCAUUCUUCGCCCUCCCUCCAUCCCCUUAUCCUGUAUGUAAACUUUAAGCAUUUUCUUAAGCUACUGUUACUCAGUUGGACAAAUGAGGCAUCAAGAACUAAGGCCUUUAGUUGAAUUUGAAGUUUGUCUUGAUUAUUACAAUCUACUGUUCCUUAUAAGACUCUCAAAUUUCUCUCCCCAACAUUUAUCUUUUCCUUUCCUCUUCAGAAUUUAUUAAGUCCAUUUAUUUUAGUUUCUUGAGUAAAGAUGUAAAAUUCAGAGUGAAGACAACAGAGUCCAAAUUUAUGUAUCCCAAUUUAAAAAUCAUUUGCAACAUUAAGAUGGAGGGAUAGGAAGCCCUGGUUCUUGUUCCACAGAAGCAGUGACUUAACAUCCACCCGUGGCUCACAAAGCUUUAAUGAGAAUGGUUGUGAUCAGCCAGGGAGUCACAGCACCCAGACCACUCAAGCAAGAGCAGCCACAUGAACCUGAGUAAGCAAGUCGAUUCAUUUUAAGUACCACAUCCCUUCCCCCAAAGUCAGCACAGCUCAGAUCUCCCUUGGGAGGAAGGAGAAGGAAUCAUAAGGACACUUUCCAGAUUUUAAGAAGGGUUGCCUAGGCAGGAACUGGAUCGGUCCAGAGUGACAGGAGAGCUCCUAGGGAGCUGAUGUCUUUUGGAUGUGGGCAGAUGGCAGGAAUUGAAGAAAGAAGAAUUUAAACGCUGGUUGAUCCAGAGCUCAGAGACCUGGCAUUGCCACGAAGGAAGGCACGGCACAAUCAGAAGUGCCUGGGGAAGCCAGAAGAGGGUGUUGGAUCUCCUGGGACUUGAAAGAGAGGCAACUGAUGUGGGUGCCUGAAAUAGACUAUGGGUCUGGUCUGCAUAGCAUUGGUGGUAUGGUGAGCCAAGCACUCUGGAGCUGCAGUUUCCUUGUACUCAACUACUGAGGAAUUCUUGGGAAGAAGCUGCUGAGUCAUUGCUCUGUGACUGAAUCUAUAUACAAGAGAUCCAAUGAUACACAGACUCUCCAACCUCAACAUGUUCAAAGAGAGUGGAGGAAAGGGCACAAAACAGAAUCUCUCUGGCUGUUCUUUAUGUUGGCCUCCUGACCAGGACUGAAUGACUCAGGGGUGAGGGUCCAUCCAUUUGCCUACAACCACUCUGGAAAUCAUUCUGGCGGUUCCUCAGAAAAUUGGACAUAGUACUACCGGAGGAUCCAGCAAUACCUCUCCUGGGCAUAUAUCCAGAAGAUGUUCCAACAGAAAUCACCCAUUCCAGUGUGGCUACAAGCUAAUGGCUCCCAAGUUUUGGCCAUGAACAAAUUUGGAAGAUAAUUUUUGACCAUAGGUCACUGUGCUUUGGAGUAUGUUGUGUGGAAAGACAUUAAAGAAGUGAACGGUGCUGAUGUGGCAAAAUUGUUCCACCCUUAUAGACAAUUCAUAGAACAUGCUCCUCAGUUUAUCUUCUCUUAUAGGCUUAAUAACAAGGAAGUGGAAGUCCUUAUACUGCUUUACAAGGCUCAUGACCUGGAAUUCUUGCACAGGAGGAACUCCACCUUUCCUUGUGCUUGUCAAGCAAAAUUUGUGAAUUAUUGUCCAGAUGCCACAAUCUAAGAGAAGAGAAAGCAUGCAGCCCAGGUUGAUUUGGAGCUCACUUGAAGGCCCAUACUCAUUCAGUUUCAGGAAGAGGCAGGAACCCGCCCAGCUGAUGCCCCAAUGCUCCUCCUACCUGCGUCCUCCCCACCCUGCAGUGCCAGGGCCAGACCCACACAAAGGCAAUGAGAGCCCACCAUGCGCCCUGAACUCUUGCCCUGCUGACUUCUAUUGUGAACAGCAGGCAAUGGGAUCCAGAAGAGGCUGUAAAUUUCCAGAUGUUCCCACAUAGUUAACAGAGACUGAGGAAUGACACUCAGUUAUUAUUCUCUGCUAUGGUAAGCAGUCAUAAAUCAAUAUAAAAGGUAAAAACCAUAAGAUCUGAGUUACAGUAUUUGCAUGUUUUGAUAUAUUUUGUUAUUGUUCAUUCCCUCCUUAUUCAUAGACAUAAAAAUCAAAAAGUCGAGGAACAGUGGUACACUCUUAUAACCCCAGCACUCAGAAGGCUGACAUAGAAAAUAGACAGUUCUAGGCCAGCUUGUGCUACAUGGGUGAGUUUUGUGACCAACCUGGGCUAUAUGAGAUAAAACAAUUAAAAACAAAACACCCAUGGAAGGA
Mus musculus (house mouse) is the source of this 2453-nucleotide long non-coding RNA. RefSeq annotates it as predicted gene 12002. The transcript is spliced from 11 exons. NCBI's taxonomy places the organism in Eukaryota, Metazoa, Chordata, Mammalia, Rodentia, Muridae. The record is from RefSeq and is a predicted model, not a curated record.